GAAAAAGGAUGUGAUUCAGACUCUAAUGAAGAGUCUGCCGAAGAGUGUAACGAAGCGUCAGACGAAGAGGUUGAAAUAUUCGAAAAUACUAGAACAUCUGACAGUGAAACUGACAACAUAGAAAAUUCCAGUUCGGUCUCGCUAAGGGCAUUCGAGUCAUUUGAAAGAAAAAAACAAAAGGAUUUUCAUUCCAAUAGACAAGAAACCAAAACUCAAACUAUUAAGAAAUCUUUCAAAAAACCGAAGAUUACAAGCGAAACAAUAUUGGAACCGCCGUUACUUAUAAAAA
Molecule: long non-coding RNA, 289 nt
Organism: Leptopilina heterotoma
Lineage: Eukaryota; Metazoa; Arthropoda; Insecta; Hymenoptera; Figitidae
Exons: 3
Source: RefSeq, a predicted model, not a curated record